UGUUUUGCUCCACCACUGAAUCUUCAGUCAAUACCCGGUAGUGGAGUGGAGGCUCAGCGGAGUGUGCUCUCCCCAACAUUGUUUUCUAGCUGCCAUCACACCCACACAGGUUGUCCGUACAACUCUGUUAACUCAGGAAUCAGCCUUCUGGCAAUGAAGCCCAGCUGAGAUGAUGGCAUGACUGCUUGCAUCUGUAUCCUGUUGAUCGUGUUCCUGGACAUAAACAUCCUCCUUUUCCUGGAAUAGUCCAGGUGGAUGCCUGCAGUCCUGGCAUAAUUAAUCAUAACUUUUACUUCCACUAGGAAAAGGCUCCAAGGUCUGGGUGAUAAAAUUAUACAGUCAUCUUAGAAAUUAACAAUGGCAACAUGAGCUAACAUUUUAUUGGCUGUUUUCUCUCUGCCAAGCGCUAUUGCUGAGCAAUUAACUCCUUUAAUCUUCUAUAAUCCUAUUAAAUAGAACUUUACAGAGGACGAAAAUGAGUCUUGGGUGUGUAAAGUAACUUGUUUAAAUUCGGAGAUCUAAUGUACGUGCAUAAGGAAAGCAAAUUUGUGACAUAUAUCAGUGGCUCAUGCGUUUUCCAUGUAACUCUCAUCUGUUGUUUUGAGAGUAACCUUUGAAAAAGUUGGUAUUAUUUUAAGAUUCCUUUUACUAUCUGCAUAAAUGCAAUUUUGGAAUGUCUGAAUGGGAAAAAUUUUAAAAUAUGCUCGGAAAUCCCCGGCAGUCCUGGAUCCCUGAUGAGACAAAGCAGAGCCCACUGCUGAAGCCGAGACAGCGAGGCAUCUUCAAAGCAUCUGUCUGCCGUGAUUCCACAGAACAGGGAUAUGUGUGCACCAAGCAUGCUUCCCUGGAGAGCCCGAGGGUAAGAACUGAGGGCUCGGUGGAGUUCCCUGGUGGCAGGUUAAGGAUCUGGCCUUGUCACUGCUGUGACAUGGGUUCAAAACCUGGCCCAGGAAUUUCCACAUCCUGCAGGUGCAGCCAAAAAUUAAAAAUAAAAACCAAAGAGGGCUCUGUGUAUAACCAAAGGGGUGCAUGCUCGCAUACUGUGCCUGUGGUCAUCUUACAUGUGUGACCUGUGUUAUUUCAUCUGACAAUUAAUGAAGUGCUGUUAGCUGGGGCGGGAUGCUAUGUCCUACGUAUCCAGCAGGCCAACAUACAGGACUCCUUCUGCCUCAUGUAUACAUAGGGAGCCCAGAGGUCCUCCUUCAUGCAGUAUGCACAUCCACAGCUGGGCCCUGGCCAGACCAUUCUCACAUUCCGUGUCGAUUUGGAAGGUCCCAAAGCACCUUAUCUGUGCCGAUGGCUCUGCUGUGUAUUCUGGCAGCACUAUCUCUGUUCUUCUAAAGAAGUAACCUGGUUCUUGUUGUCAAAUCUGUUUCUGUGAAGACUUUCCUUCAGUUGAAGUUGUCUUUUGUCAGGGCGGGUGCUUGUGGGAUCUCCCAGGGGCAGAUGCUGUCCAUGUGUGUCUCAGAUCCCUGGGACCGUAACCAUUUCGUUGUGCCGGUAACUGCAGGACCGUGGAAGGCUGACCUCCCUGUGGGUGCCAAGGGCCCCCAAACACUGGGGGAUCACCACUCCCUGGAAAGCAUCUCGUGCUGAUGAUGGAUGCAAGCUGGUAUAUCAUACCCCAGCCAGCCUCCUCGCUGCUUGGGUCAGAAGAGGCAUUUUGCAUCAUUCUCCACGGUUUGCUGAUGGGAUGAAGCUCCAGUUGCCAUCGUGAUAGCUGGCUUCCUAGGUCCUUUUAUGGGCUCUCUUCCCUUCCCCAUCUCACCUCUCCUCUCCCCAGCCAGACUUGUGGUGGAAGCUUUGCCUCGGGAUCUGUUCUGUGUUUAAAUAGGUCAGGCUCUGAAAUCCUCUCCCAGCUCUGUUUGUUUCUUCCGUAGCCCUUUGCUCAAUUGUAAUUGCAUGGUUAUUUGUGUUUCACGAAAGCCUAUCUCCCUGACUCCAUGGCAAGUGUCCCUCUGUGUGUGUAUGUGAUUGUGUCUAGUUCGCGUGAUACUUGGCAGAUGUAAAUGCACAAUAGACUCAUUUUGAAAACGAAAGAAUGAAUUUAGCAAAAGCUGUAUUUGUAAUUCCCACUAGGCUGUGGCUUAAAGAACCAACCAGGUCCUGAGGAUGCUAAUCAGAAGCAGAAGGUGGUAAAUCGAGGUAGAUCACAUUCUUGGCAGGGCGUGGGAACCAGAAGAAUGGGGUCUUUCGAAUGAAAGAGCAUAUAGUCAUUGGGAAAGAAUGUUAUACUCUAUGCUAGAAAUUUGAAUUAUCUGUAUUUUCUAGAAGUUAAAAUUGAUGAACACCGGUUUGAAUGCUGUUCUAUUUCCUCUGACAAUAGAAGGUUUAAAAUAAGCAUGUAGCCAUGGAUUAUAUUUUAUAAAAUGAUAUUAGCCUUAAUUGUUUAAAACAUAUAUAGUUAGAAAAUUCAAAAUUGGCUUUUGAAAUGAAUGUGAAAUGAGCAUGACAUGUCGUUACGAAGCCAGUUCAUAAGCCAAGAUAAUUGUACAUCUCUUUUCCCAGGUACUAUCCAAACAAAGGUAUUGUAUUAUGAUGGCUGGUUGUCAUGGCUCCCUGAUUUUUAAUAUGGCUUUAAAUGACUUAUGUUUAAAUAGUCUUGGAAAGUUCAUCCAGGAGAUGCUUUUCCCACGUAAUGAAGAUCAUGCCUAAUUAGAGCUGGUGAACCUGAGACCACAAACUCUCAUUUGAGCCAUAUGUUGUGCCUUAAAGUAAACAUUGAUGUCAUAUCUAUGCAAACAAGACCGCCUUCGCUGGUGAAGCACGUAGGUGGGGGGCAGACCUCGAUGCUCACCUGGUCCCUCCUCCCGCAUCUUUGUGUGGGUCGGGGAAGAGCAGGAUGCUGCCUCCAAAGUCCCCAGGGUGGCCCUGCUCAGCGAUAGCACUGAACGCAUGAAAUGUCUGGAUGUUCAGCUUCUGUCGGUUUGUCACCGUGGGUGGGAAGAACCCAGGGGUACCAGCCCAGACGCUGCAUACCUUUUCUUAUAUCUCUGCCUGUGCGUGUGGAGCUACCUACACCUAUUUCUAAAACUACCUUUUUCUUCAUCGGUGUCUAUGGCUACGACCGUUCAGCUCUAUCUAUAUAAGUUUCUAUACCUAAAUCUAAAGUUACCUCUGCCUCUGUAAGGACGCCUCUGUCUCCACCUGUAUACCUCCCUCUAUGUCUGUGCCUUCACCUACACCUGUACCAUGUCCAUCCACCUGUGUGCGUACGUCUCCAUGUCUGUCUACACCUACACCUGUAUCCACAGCUGAGUUGACAACUUCGCAUCCUCAGCCAAGCCCUGGAUAAACUUGCACUGAAGGUGUGAGGCUGGCCUGAGGGAAUUGCAGUGUCCUAACCCAGAGCAUCUGCCAUGUUUCACGCCCCCAGGCUCCCCACAUCCACCCACCUUGUCUUUCUCUCUCCCCUUUCCUGGCCUGGUGCCAUUUCUAGGGCCCUGUUUUCUGCCACCGUCAGGAAUUAGGGCUCUCUUUUCAGUCUUCCCCAGAGAGAGCAGGAAAUUCCUCCUUUCCCCCAUCAAUCUCAUGAUAGGGAUGCUUCCACCCUAUGAUGGUGCAGAAGCAGUACAUAUUCCGUGGCUUUCGUGCUUCCAAUUUUGAAUGUUGACGCUUUCCUGGGCUAGUGAUACAGACGGUGAUACCCCAGCGAUGCUGGGCAGUGGUAGUGAGCAGUGGGUCCCCGCCGGCCACAUGAUCACCAGUGGAAACAACCCAUAUGCUUCCAACCACUCUGCACCCAGACCAUCACUCUGCUUCUCACCUUCAGUACAGCAUUCAGUAAAUUGCACGAGAUAUUCAAGACGUUAUGAUAAAACAGGCUUUGGGUUAGAUGAUUUUGAUCAACUAUAGGCUCAUGUAAGUGUUCUGAGUGCAUUUAAGGUAGGCUGGGCUAAGGUGUUGGUGGGGGUAUGGACGUAAUCCCAUCGUAAGUCUAAGGCGAGGAGAUGCGUUAUCUCCCUGGGGCCAGACCUCGGCUUCCAGUGCCAAAAGGCGUCUCUGUGAACAAUGCAGCAUUGUUGAAUUCCUCAUUACUCUGAACUUUGCCUUUUGAGAGCAUGCUGAGGCUUUCUCUUUACCCGUCCAGAUAACCCACUGAGAUAUACACGGGACUUCAUCCCCCAUGGAAGCUCAGUCUUUCUCCAAAAACGAGAUCUGCCUCUCCUGCUAGAACAAAGGAAAAUUGUCAGUUUUUUUUUUUUUUUUCUACUUUUCAAACUGACUUAGGAACAUUGAGGUCUGGCCUCAGAAACACAUAUAUCAUUUUUUUGGUCAUUGCCCCUAGUAGAACAUAUAAUCAAAGUGUUACUUAAUUUCACUGCCCUGUCAGGAUGCAUCUUGGUACAGACAGGCAAGCCUUUCAGAAAUGAAAUCUGGAGCCGGGGUCAGUUGGAAAAGAUAACCUGCCCACCACUGCUCUGCCCACAGCUUCCUCUGGCGGCAUCCAUCCCGUGGAUGAGCGGACUCACUGGUCCUGCCUUGGACUUGCUGCUCAUCUUCAGCUCUGAUCCUCCUGUCUCCUCUGCCUACUCUGACCCUCUCUUUCCGACCUACACUGAACCAUCUGAACAAAUCUUUUGAUUUCCUCUCUUGCCUCUGCUUCACAUUAGUCUCAUCCCCAUGCAUGUAACACCAGCUUGGGCUUGGACCCCAAUUCUGACGGCUGCCCAAAACAUCUUCAUCCUCUUCUUUUCUCCUGCAUGAAAUCCACCCCCCAAAGAGUCCUCUUUUCUAAAGGUAGGUUCCAGCUCCCAACAGGACCAGUUGUUGUUCCCUACCUCUUGCUACCUGGCACGUCCUCUGUCAUAAGGACUUGGUGCACUAAAUUGCAGAGAGCUUACCUGGUACUCAAGUCAGCUAGCCUAGACCCAUCUAACUGCCCAGACUCUUCAUCUGCUUUACACACCUGUCACCCCCUGAUGGGUCUGUGGGCCAUUUCCCAGCCAGAUAUUGUCACGUCCUUUCUCUGCUUCCAUACGUGUCCUUCCUUGGACCUGGAAUUGUGUCUUUCCUUGGCGUCUGCUGAGGUCCAGCUGCCAUGCUCCCGUGAUGCUGUGUCUCCCUUUCCAAGCAACAGUGGUUUUCGUCUUCUCCUUGGCUUGCUGUAUCUCUCACACAGCACUGCCACUCGCUACCCUGUGUUUUUGAUCAUCCAGCUUGCAUCUCAUCUCUCCCGGUGGUCAAGCAGCCCCAACUUCUUCUGGGAACCUCUUGGAAAAGCACAUCCUCAGCUCUACCCCAAACCCACUGAGUCUACAGCAUUGAGAGUGGGGCCUGGUAACCCGUAUUUUAACACACCCCACCUGUGAUUCUGAAGCUCAAAGUUCAAAACUCAAGUUUUGACCUUGCUGACCUAGACUAGAGACCAAGGACAAAGACUUCAUUUUUCUCCUGACACUGCGGGGGGAACUUCUGUAUCAGAAGGUAUGUUAUUAAGUGAUUCCUUUCUCCUUUGGUUCUCUUUUUCAUUUUUGGGUCCAGCCUUUCCCUUUGCCUGGCAGGGGUGACCAUGUGGUGCAGGUUCAUUGUCUUAUGAAGAAUUGAAAUGACAAGCAUCAAGGCAAUGUUUGGUUUCUGGUAGCAAACAAAGGAUUUUGCAACAAAAAGGUAGCCUGUGAGCCAGACUCUGAUACCUAGAAAGAAUGAUGAAAUUCCUCGUUGGUACAUGUAGUAUUUUAAGAGCUAUGCUGGAUGGGCUGACCAUGGAGUUUUACGCAAAGGAGAUCCAAGAACAAGAAAAAAGGAGGAGGGUCCUGGCUGUUCAAGAAAUGAGCAAAAAGAGUCAGGUUGAGAAAACCAGUUGUAUUCGUUUCCUGAUGCUGCUGUAAUGAGUUAUCACGCUUGGUGGCUUAAAGUGACACAAGUUUAGGCCUUACAAUUCUGUAGACGAGAAGUCCAAGACGGGGCUUGUGGGGCUACAUCCAAAGCUAUGUUCCUUCUGGGGCCUCUGGGGAAGAAUCCAUUUCCUGGCCUCUUCCACCUCACACCCCUUCUCUCCUGGCUCUUAUCUUUAACGCCAGUGGUGUGGCAUCCUCAAAUUUCUCUUUCUCCCUUCCACCUCUGCUUUCAUCCUCACUCCUCCUUCUCUCUGCCACCCCUGCCUCCCUCUUGUAACAACUUUUGUGGUUCCAUUGGGUCCAGGAAGAGCAUCUAGGGUAAUCUUCCCAACUCAAGAUCCUCAACUUCGGGAGUUCCCGUCUGGUCAUUGGUAACGAACCUGACUAGUAUCCAUGAGGUUGCAGGUUUGAUGCGUGGCCUCGCCCAGUGGGUUAAGGAUCUGGUGUUGCCGUGAACUUUGAUGUAGGUCACAGACAAGGCUCACAUCUGGCAUUGCUGUGGCUGUGGUGCAGGCCAGCAGGUGCAGCUCAUAUUUGACCCCUAGCCUGGGAA
This 6393-nucleotide long non-coding RNA is filed under the name Sus scrofa (pig). RNAcentral describes it as "lncRNA (ENSSSCG00000056518.1)". The record is from RNAcentral. Lineage: Eukaryota; Metazoa; Chordata; Mammalia; Artiodactyla; Suidae.